This 800-nucleotide long non-coding RNA is filed under the name Astyanax mexicanus (Mexican tetra). Its description in RNAcentral is "lncRNA (ENSAMXG00005003059.1)". The stretch from base 539 to 612 matches the Rfam family "mir-148/mir-152 microRNA precursor family". Lineage: Eukaryota; Metazoa; Chordata; Actinopteri; Characiformes; Acestrorhamphidae. The record is from RNAcentral.
CUAGUUUUACAUCGAGUGACACGUAAGUCCCUCCAUGACGGAGUCCCCAGGCGACUAGGCUAUAGGCCCACUGUGUGUGAAACUACACAAAGAAUCAAACUUUUUUUCUGUCUCCUUUUCUCACUUUCUUACUGUUUCUGCCUGUCUCUCUCCCUCUCCCUCUUUCUCUCGAGCGCGUCCGUGAUUGCGCGUGCACGCUUGGCAGCUCCACGUCGACAUUCUUCCAGCUGCGGAGUCCGGUACACGGGAGAGAGGGAGAGAGAGAGGGGAGAAAGAGACGAAAUCACCUCACCAACACCGUCCGCGGCCUCAGGAAGGACGUCAAGUGCCAAAUUAACGCAGAAAAGCUUCGCUGGCUCUCACAGUCACGGCUGCCAUAUUUGGACACGGCGUUUUUAUUUUUUAUUUCUUGCUUUUUUGCAUUUUCUCUUUCGCCUCGUGCAGCCUGUAACGUGCCGAGUUGCAGAUGUGAGGUCCUGCAGCGAGAAGAUGAGAAGGCCCAUAAUGAAGGAGGUCUAGCGAGAGUCUUCUGUGGCUUUCCAAGUAAAGUUCUGUGAUACACUCUGACUCUUAAUUGUUUGCAGUCAGUGCAUUACAGAACUUUGUUUUGGGAGUUUAAAGCUCUGGCCUGGAGGGAACAAGCAUUACAUCUGGAGGGAGGGAUAACAACCCCCCAUACACACACACACAUUCACACAGACUCACACAUACACACAAGUCCCCCGACAGCACUUAGCUCCAUUCUCUCUCAGUGAUCACACGCAAAUAAAACAUUCAUGAUCAUUGUAAUUGUCUCCCUU